Molecule: ribosomal RNA, 2922 nt
Filed under: Klebsiella pneumoniae
Lineage: Bacteria; Pseudomonadati; Pseudomonadota; Gammaproteobacteria; Enterobacterales; Enterobacteriaceae
Description: bacterial LSU rRNA
Rfam family: Bacterial large subunit ribosomal RNA
Source: RNAcentral
GGGUUGUGAGGUUAAGCGACUAAGCGUACACGGUGGAUGCCCUGGCAGUCAGAGGCGAUGAAGGACGUGCUAAUCUGCGAAAAGCGUCGGUAAGGUGAUAUGAACCGUUACAGCCGGCGAUGUCCGAAUGGGGAAACCCAGUGCAAUUCGUUGCACUAUCGUUAACUGAAUACAUAGGUUAACGAGGCGAACCGGGGGAACUGAAACAUCUAAGUACCCCGAGGAAAAAAAAUCAACCGAGAUUCCCCCAGUAGCGGCGAGCGAACGGGGAGCAGCCCAGAGUCUGAAUCAGCUUGUGUGUUAGUGGAACGGUCUGGAAAGUCCGACGGUACAGGGUGAUAGUCCCGUACACCAAAAUGCACAGGCUGUGAACUCGAAGAGUAGGGCGGGACACGUGGUAUCCUGUCUGAAUAUGGGGGGACCAUCCUCCAAGGCUAAAUACUCCUGACUGACCGAUAGUGAACCAGUACCGUGAGGGAAAGGCGAAAAGAACCCCGGCGAGGGGAGUGAAAAAGAACCUGAAACCGUGUACGUACAAGCAGUGGGAGCACCUUCGGGUGUGACUGCGUACCUUUUGUAUAAUGGGUCAGCGACUUAUAUUCUGUAGCAAGGUUAACCGUAUAGGGGAGCCGCAGGGAAACCGAGUCUUAACUGGGCGUUAAGUUGCAGGGUAUAGACCCGAAACCCGGUGAUCUAGCCAUGGGCAGGUUGAAGGUUGGGUAACACUAACUGGAGGACCGAACCGACUAAUGUUGAAAAAUUAGCGGAUGACUUGUGGCUGGGGGUGAAAGGCCAAUCAAACCGGGAGAUAGCUGGUUCUCCCCGAAAGCUAUUUAGGUAGCGCCUCGUGAAUUCAUCUUCGGGGGUAGAGCACUGUUUCGGCUAGGGGGUCAUCCCGACUUACCAACCCGAUGCAAACUACGAAUACCGAAGAAUGUUAUCACGGGAGACACACGGCGGGUGCUAACGUCCGUCGUGAAGAGGGAAACAACCCAGACCGCCAGCUAAGGUCCCAAAGUCAUGGUUAAGUGGGAAACGAUGUGGGAAGGCACAGACAGCCAGGAUGUUGGCUUAGAAGCAGCCAUCAUUUAAAGAAAGCGUAAUAGCUCACUGGUCGAGUCGGCCUGCGCGGAAGAUGUAACGGGGCUAAACCAUGCACCGAAGCUGCGGCAGCGACACUAUGUGUUGUUGGGUAGGGGAGCGUUCUGUAAGCCUGCGAAGGUGACCUGUGAGGGUUGCUGGAGGUAUCAGAAGUGCGAAUGCUGACAUAAGUAACGAUAAAGCGGGUGAAAAGCCCGCUCGCCGGAAGACCAAGGGUUCCUGUCCAACGUUAAUCGGGGCAGGGUGAGUCGACCCCUAAGGCGAGGCCGAAAGGCGUAGUCGAUGGGAAACAGGUUAAUAUUCCUGUACUUGGUGUUACUGCGAAGGGGGACGGAGAAGGCUAUGUUAGCCGGGCGACGGUUGUCCCGGUUUAAGCAUGUAGGCUGGUUAUCCAGGCAAAUCCGGAUAAUCAAGGCUGAGGUGUGAUGACGAGGCACUACGGUGCUGAAGUAACAAAUGCCCUGCUUCCAGGAAAAGCCUCUAAGCAUCAGGUAACAUCAAAUCGUACCCCAAACCGACACAGGUGGUCAGGUAGAGAAUACCAAGGCGCUUGAGAGAACUCGGGUGAAGGAACUAGGCAAAAUGGUGCCGUAACUUCGGGAGAAGGCACGCUGGUGUGUAGGUGAAGUCCCUGCGGAUGGAGCUGAGACCAGUCGAAGAUACCAGCUGGCUGCAACUGUUUAUUAAAAACACAGCACUGUGCAAACACGAAAGUGGACGUAUACGGUGUGACGCCUGCCCGGUGCCGGAAGGUUAAUUGAUGGGGUUAUCCGUAAGGAGAAGCUCUUGAUCGAAGCCCCGGUAAACGGCGGCCGUAACUAUAACGGUCCUAAGGUAGCGAAAUUCCUUGUCGGGUAAGUUCCGACCUGCACGAAUGGCGUAAUGAUGGCCAGGCUGUCUCCACCCGAGACUCAGUGAAAUUGAACUCGCUGUGAAGAUGCAGUGUACCCGCGGCAAGACGGAAAGACCCCGUGAACCUUUACUAUAGCUUGACACUGAACAUUGAGCCUUGAUGUGUAGGAUAGGUGGGAGGCUUUGAAGCGUGGACGCCAGUCUGCGUGGAGCCAACCUUGAAAUACCACCCUUUAAUGUUUGAUGUUCUAACGUUGGCCCCUGACCGGGGUUGCGGACAGUGUCUGGUGGGUAGUUUGACUGGGGCGGUCUCCUCCCAAAGCGUAACGGAGGAGCACGAAGGUUAGCUAAUCCUGGUCGGACAUCAGGAGGUUAGUGCAAUGGCAUAAGCUAGCUUGACUGCGAGCGUGACGGCGCGAGCAGGUGCGAAAGCAGGUCAUAGUGAUCCGGUGGUUCUGAAUGGAAGGGCCAUCGCUCAACGGAUAAAAGGUACUCCGGGGAUAACAGGCUGAUACCGCCCAAGAGUUCAUAUCGACGGCGGUGUUUGGCACCUCGAUGUCGGCUCAUCACAUCCUGGGGCUGAAGUAGGUCCCAAGGGUAUGGCUGUUCGCCAUUUAAAGUGGUACGCGAGCUGGGUUUAGAACGUCGUGAGACAGUUCGGUCCCUAUCUGCCGUGGGCGCUGGAGAAUUGAGGGGGGCUGCUCCUAGUACGAGAGGACCGGAGUGGACGCAUCACUGGUGUUCGGGUUGUCAUGCCAAUGGCACUGCCCGGUAGCUAAAUGCGGAAGAGAUAAGUGCUGAAAGCAUCUAAGCACGAAACUUGCCCCGAGAUGAGUUCUCCCUGAGACUUUAAGUCUCCUGAAGGAACGUUAAAGACGAUGACGUUGAUAGGCCGGGUGUGUAAGCGCAGCGAUGCGUUGAGCUAACCGGUACUAAUGAACCGUGAGGCUUAACCUUACAACGCCGAAG